Molecule: transfer RNA, 91 nt
Filed under: compost metagenome
Description: tRNA-Ser
Rfam family: tRNA
About the family: Transfer RNA (tRNA) molecules are approximately 80 nucleotides in length. Their secondary structure includes four short double-helical elements and three loops (D, anti-codon, and T loops).
Source: RNAcentral
GGAAGAGUAGCCUAACGGUAAGGCAGCAGUUUUGAAAACUGCCGUGAGGAGUUUACUUCUCUUGCGGGUUCGAGUCCCGUCUCUUCCUCCA